GGAAUAUUGGACAAUGGGGGCAACCCUGAUCCAGCAAUGCCGCGUGUGCGAAGAAGGUCUUCGGAUUGUAAAGCACUUUCGACGGGGACGAUGAUGACGGUACCCGUAGAGGAAGCCCCGGCUAACUUCGUGCCAGCAGCCGCGGUAAUACGAAGGGGGCUAGCGUUGCUCGGAAUGACUGGGCGUAAAGGGCGUGUAGGCGGUUUACACAGUCAGAUGUGAAAUCCCCGGGCUUAACCUGGGAGCUGCAUUUGAUACGUGUAGACUAGAGUGUGAGAGAGGGUUGUGGAAUUCCCAGUGUAGAGGUGAAAUUCGUAGAUAUUGGGAAGAACACCGGUGGCGAAGGCGGCAACCUGGCUCAUGACUGACGCUGAGGCGCGAAAGCGUGGGGAGCAAACAGGAUUAGAUACCCUGGUAGUCCACGCUGUAAACGAUGUGUGCUAGAUGUUGGGUAACUUUGUUAUUCAGUGUCGCAGUUAACGCGUUAAGCACAC
Molecule: ribosomal RNA, 494 nt
Filed under: uncultured bacterium
Lineage: Bacteria
Description: partial 16S ribosomal RNA
Rfam family: Bacterial small subunit ribosomal RNA
Source: RNAcentral